This 600-nucleotide ribosomal RNA is filed under the name Hanseniaspora opuntiae. Its description in RNAcentral is "partial 26S ribosomal RNA". It matches the Rfam family "Eukaryotic large subunit ribosomal RNA", at positions 49 to 663 of the family's 3401-position model. The record is from RNAcentral. Lineage: Eukaryota; Fungi; Ascomycota; Saccharomycetes; Saccharomycodales; Saccharomycodaceae.
UAGGGAGGAAAAGAAACCAACUGGGAUUACCUUAGUAACGGCGAGUGAAGCGGUAAAAGCUCAAAUUUGAAAUCUGGUACUUUCAGUGCCCGAGUUGUAAUUUGUAGAAUUUGUCUUUGAUUAGGUCCUUGUCUAUGUUCCUUGGAACAGGACGUCAUAGAGGGUGAGAAUCCCGUUUGGCGAGGAUACCUUUUCUCUGUAAGACUUUUUCGAAGAGUCGAGUUGUUUGGGAAUGCAGCUCAAAGUGGGUGGUAAAUUCCAUCUAAAGCUAAAUAUUGGCGAGAGACCGAUAGCGAACAAGUACAGUGAUGGAAAGAUGAAAAGAACUUUGAAAAGAGAGUGAAAAAGUACGUGAAAUUGUUGAAAGGGAAGGGCAUUUGAUCAGACAUGGUGUUUUUUGCAUGCACUCGCCUCUCGUGGGCUUGGGCCUCUCAAAAAUUUCACUGGGCCAACAUCAAUUCUGGCAGUAGGAUAAAUCAUUAAGAAUGUAGCUACCUCGGUAGUGUUAUAGCUUAUUGGAAUACUGCUAGCUGGGAUUGAGGACUGCGCUUCGGCAAGGAUGUUGGCAUAAUGGUUAAAUGCCGCCCGUCUUGAACCACG